CCCUUAGAUGUCCUGGGCCGCACGCGCGUUACACUGAUGCAUUCAACGAGCUUAUAACCUUGGCCGAGAGGCCUGGGCAAUCUUGUUAACGUGCAUCGUGAUAGGGAUAGAUUAUUGAAAUUAUUAAUCUUGAACGAGGAAUUCCUAGUAAACGCAGAUCAUCAAUCUGCAUUGAUUACGUCCCUGCCCUUUGUACACACCGCCCGUCGCACCUACCGAUUGGAUGGUCCGGUGAAGCCUCGGGAUUGUGGUUCUUGCCGCUUUGUUGUGGCGUGACCGCGAGAACUUGUCUAAACCUUAUCAUCUAGAGGAAGGUGAAGCCGUAACA
Molecule: ribosomal RNA, 328 nt
Filed under: uncultured eukaryote
Lineage: Eukaryota
Description: partial 18S ribosomal RNA
Rfam family: Eukaryotic small subunit ribosomal RNA
Source: RNAcentral